AUUGUUAUUUAUAGAUUUGCAAUGAUUACUAGCUAACACCAUGGGUACCUAUUCUGUAUCACCUCAAUAGAUUUAAGCCAAGGGUAGGUAUCCCAACUAAAUUGAUAGAGGUGUUUUAAUAAAACGUAAUGCCAGCUUUAGUAUGCAAUAUUUACUGAUAUGAAUUUGAGUAAGCCAACUAAUAUUUAUAGUAAUAUUAUUACAUAAUAAGAUAUCAGUGGGGUAGUAACUUAUGCUCCAUAACGAGGAAAAAGUUUAUUAAAAUUACGAUGAAAAAAUAUAACGAAACAGCACAAAUAGAGUGAUGUCAUAGUUAACCAGUACCUAUGUAUUUAGUGAUCAUUGUUCAACUGGAUGACAAUGUACAUAAAUAUACGCAUUCUAGAUAACU
Cydia fagiglandana is the source of this 391-nucleotide long non-coding RNA. RefSeq lists it as uncharacterized. The transcript has 2 exons. Lineage: Eukaryota; Metazoa; Arthropoda; Insecta; Lepidoptera; Tortricidae. The record is from RefSeq and is a predicted model, not a curated record.